RNAcentral lists this transfer RNA (73 nucleotides) under Solihabitans fulvus. It matches the Rfam family "tRNA". From Rfam's summary of the family: Transfer RNA (tRNA) molecules are approximately 80 nucleotides in length. Their secondary structure includes four short double-helical elements and three loops (D, anti-codon, and T loops). The record is from Rfam by way of RNAcentral. RNAcentral also lists the same sequence under 1 other name. Lineage: Bacteria; Bacillati; Actinomycetota; Actinomycetes; Pseudonocardiales; Pseudonocardiaceae.
GCCGGUGUAGCUCAAUUGGCAGAGCACUCGCCUUGUAAGCGAAAGGUUAGGGGUUCGAUUCCCCUCACCGGCU